GGAAUCUUCCACAAUGGGCGCAAGCCUGAUGGAGCAACGCCGCGUGUGUGAUGAAGGGUUUCGGCUCGUAAAACACUGUUGUAAGAGAAGAAUGACAUUGAGAGUAACUGUUCAAUGUGUGACGGUAUCUUACCAGAAAGGAACGGCUAACUACGUGCCAG
RNAcentral lists this ribosomal RNA (161 nucleotides) under uncultured bacterium. Its description in RNAcentral is "partial 16S rRNA". It matches the Rfam family "Bacterial small subunit ribosomal RNA", at positions 358 to 511 of the family's 1533-position model. The record is from RNAcentral.